AACGAACGCUGGCGGCGCGCCUAAUACAUGCAAGUCGAGCGAGAAGGUGUAGCAAUACACUUGUAAAGCGGCGAACGGGUGAGGAAUACAUGGGUAACCUACCCUCGAGUGGGGAAUAACUAGCCGAAAGGUUAGCUAAUACCGCGUACGCUUCCGGGACUGCGGUUCCGGAAGGAAAGCGAUACUGUGAGUAUCGCGCUCUUGGAUGGGCUCAUGUCCUAUCAGCUUGUUGGGAGGUAACGGCUCACCAAGGCUUCGACGGGUAGCUGGUCUGAGAGGAUGAUCAGCCACACUGGAACUGACACACGGUCCAGACUCCCACGGGAGGCAGCAGUUGGGAAUAUUGGACAAUGGGGGCAACCCUGAUCCAGCCACGCCGCGUGAGUGAUGAAGGCC
This 396-nucleotide ribosomal RNA is filed under the name uncultured bacterium. RNAcentral describes it as "bacterial SSU rRNA". It matches the Rfam family "Bacterial small subunit ribosomal RNA", at positions 29 to 416 of the family's 1533-position model. The record is from RNAcentral.